This 414-nucleotide ribosomal RNA is filed under the name uncultured microorganism. RNAcentral describes it as "bacterial SSU rRNA". It matches the Rfam family "Archaeal small subunit ribosomal RNA", at positions 459 to 872 of the family's 1478-position model. The record is from RNAcentral.
CAGCCGCCGCGGUAAUACCGGCGGCCCGAGUGGCGGCCACUAUUAUUGGGCUUAAAGCGUCCGUAGCCGGGUUGGGAAGUCCUCCGGGAAAUCUGGCCGCUUAACGGUCAGAAUUCCGGGAGAUACUGCCAGCCUAGGGACCGGGAGAGGCCGAGGGUAUUCCCGGAGUAGGGGUGAAAUCCUAUAAUCCCGGGAGGACCACCUGUGGCGAAGGCGCUCGGCUGGAACGGGUCCGACGGUGAGGGACGAAGGCCAGGGGAGCAAACCGGAUUAGAUACCCGGGUAGUCCUGGCUGUAAACGAUGCGGACUUUGUGUCGGACAAGCUAUGAGCUUGUCCGGUGCCGGAGGGAAACCGUUAAGUCCGCCGCCUGGGGAGUACGGCCGCAAGGCUGAAAUUUAAAGGAAUUGGCGGG